UUGCACUUCUGUCAAGAUGGUUCUGACUCUUAAAGUCAAAGUGUAAAUGGCAAACCAUUUUUGGAGUCCAGGAUGAGCUAAUCUCAACCCAGACCUUACAAUGCAAUGAAGUAUGAAAGCCCAAAUUUGAAACAACAGGAGCUUCCUAUUAACAGGGAGAUGGAGUGGGAAGAGCAAUCAAUUUUAGGGAGAGAGAAGAAAAAGAAAAAGGAAAUAUUUUUCACAUAGAGAAAAAAGAACAACUUCAACAAUGGGGGAGUGAAAUUCAAGGUAGUAUUUUCCUGGCCCCAUUAUUUUUAUUGUAAACAUUGUGUAAGCAAAUUGUUUUAAGAAGUUUA
RNAcentral lists this long non-coding RNA (338 nucleotides) under Chinchilla lanigera (long-tailed chinchilla). Its description in RNAcentral is "lncRNA (ENSCLAG00000022413.1)". Lineage: Eukaryota; Metazoa; Chordata; Mammalia; Rodentia; Chinchillidae. The record is from RNAcentral.